Molecule: long non-coding RNA, 606 nt
Organism: Rosa rugosa (rugosa rose)
Lineage: Eukaryota; Viridiplantae; Streptophyta; Magnoliopsida; Rosales; Rosaceae
Exons: 2
Source: RefSeq, a predicted model, not a curated record
UCUGUAAUGGAGGCUAAUUGGUUGAAGCAGAAAAGUUGCUUAGGGCCCGUUUGGAUAGGGUGAUUUGGACUUGAGGAUUUGGAUUUCGGAGGCCCACAUACAAAUAAGCCCGUUUGGCACAAAUUUUUCAUUAGAGAUUUGGAUUUGAUGAAAUCAGCCCAGUCAUUUGAUUAACAAAAUAUGCAGAUUCUAUAUAACUAGGGUACCCUACUAGGGUACCCUAGUUAUUUGAAAUCUCUUCCUCUCUCGCUUCCAAGACACUAGAGCUCGAUUUCAAAGCACGCGGAGCUCGCUCUCUCUCCACUCAUGUUCUCUACAAAUCGCAGAGGUUGGGCUCGACUUCGUGUGAGAUUUGGUGAAGGACACAAAGCUGAUGGAGACUGGAAACCGCAAGCUUAUCAAGCAGUAGUGGAAAAGUUGAAUUAUGGAGAGUGAGCAUGAGAUGGAAUUAUGGAGAUGAAACACCUAUUAAUAUUAUAAUUGUUAUGUUUUUGUUUUUUUUUUAGAAUAUUAGAUGAAACACUUCGGAUUUGUAUAAUCGAGGAUGUGUAUUAUUAUUAUUAUUAUUAUUUUUUUGAGAAUAUGAGAUGAAACACUUCGGAUUUA